UGGGGAAUAUUGCACAAUGGGCGAAAGCCUGAUGCAGCGACGCCGCGUGAGGGAUGACGGCCUUCGGGUUGUAAACCUCUUUCAGCAGGGAAGAAGCGAAAGUGACGGUACCUGCAGAAGAAGCGCCGGCUAACUACGUGCCAGCAGCCGCGGUAAUACGUAGGGCGCAAGCGUUGUCCGGAAUUAUUGGGCGUAAAGAGCUCGUAGGCGGUUAGUCGCGUCUGCUGUGAAAACUCGAGGCUCAACCUCGGGCUUGCAGUGGGUACGGGCUGACUANAGUGCGGUAGGGGUGACUGGAAUUCCUGGUGUAGCGGUGGAAUGCGCAGAUAUCAGGAGGAACACCGAUGGCGAAGGCAGGUCACUGGGCCGCAACUGACGCUGAGGAGCGAAAGCAUGGGGAGCGAACAGGAUUAGAUACCCUGGUAGUCCAUGCCGUAAACGUUGGGCACUAGGUGUGGGUCCAUUCCACGGAUUCCGUGCCGCAGCAAACGCAUUAAGUGCCCCGCCUGGGGAGUACGGCCGCAAGGCUAAAACUCAAAUGAAUUGACGGGGUCAUAGCUGUUUCCU
Molecule: ribosomal RNA, 567 nt
Filed under: uncultured bacterium
Lineage: Bacteria
Description: partial 16S ribosomal RNA
Rfam family: Bacterial small subunit ribosomal RNA
Source: RNAcentral